RNAcentral lists this ribosomal RNA (376 nucleotides) under uncultured Planctomycetota bacterium. Its description in RNAcentral is "bacterial SSU rRNA". It matches the Rfam family "Bacterial small subunit ribosomal RNA", at positions 40 to 382 of the family's 1533-position model. Lineage: Bacteria; Pseudomonadati; Planctomycetota. The record is from RNAcentral.
UCGGCGUGGAUUAGGCAUGCAAGUCGAACGAGAAGCCUCUUUUUCGAGUUUUCGGACAAGAAUGUGAGGUGGAAAGUGGCGAAAGGGUGAGUAACACGUGGGCAAUCUGCCCUCGAGUCGGGGAUAGCUUCUGGAAACGGGAGAUAAUACCGGAUGUGUUCGGGAGUCGCAUGACUCCCUAUAAUAAAGGUGGGGAUCCUUCGGGACCUGCCGCUUGAGGAUGAGCUCGCGCCCCAUCAGCUUGUUGGUAGGGUAAUGGCCUACCAAGGCUUACGGGUAGCCGACCUGAGAGGGUGACCGGCCACACUGGGACUGAGACACUGCCCAGACUCCUACGGGAGGCUGCAGUCGAGAAUCAUUCGCAAUGCCCGAAAGG